UUUGAUGAAGUUUUCGGAUGGAUUUAAACAGCUUAGUGGCGGACGGGUGAGUAACGCGUGGGUAACCUGCCCUAGAGUGGGGGACAACAGUUGGAAACGACUGCUAAUACCGCAUAACGUAUCGGGAUGGCAUCUUCCUGAUACCAAAGAUUUUAUCGCUUAGAGAUGGGCUCGCGUCUGAUUAGAUAGUUGGUGGGGUAACGGCCUACCAAGUCUACGAUCAGUAGCCGGACUGAGAGGUUGAACGGCCACAUUGGGACUGAGAUACGGCCCAGACUCC
RNAcentral lists this ribosomal RNA (280 nucleotides) under uncultured Oscillospiraceae bacterium. RNAcentral describes it as "partial 16S ribosomal RNA". It matches the Rfam family "Bacterial small subunit ribosomal RNA", at positions 62 to 339 of the family's 1533-position model. Lineage: Bacteria; Bacillati; Bacillota; Clostridia; Eubacteriales; Oscillospiraceae. The record is from RNAcentral.